CACGUCGAGUUGAUUCACGAGUGCGAUCUCCUUUCUCUUUUAUCUUUCUUUCUUUUUUUUUUUUUUUUUUUCUCAAAUUUCGUCUCAAGCUUAUUCGCUUUGUUUUGUGUUCGAGUCCUUUGUUCAAGAAUAGGCCUUGCAGAUCCAGUUGCGCUUCGGCAGUGACGUCUAACCGCCUCUCAUUUUCACCAUCGCGAGCUUCUUUAAUUAAGCCACAGCCUUUCUCAUUGUGCAGUCACUGCAGUGUCGAGCACGCGCAAGCGCCCCAACACAUGUACAUGCGUCUACAUGUAUUGCACUUUACCGCCUCGAAGUAGAUACGUACACACGUAUAUAUGGAUGUGUGUGUGUGCGUGUAUACGAUACGAUUCCCCGGUUCGAAAGUCCGUUCGUAACUUGCUUUCAGCGAAAGAACAACACGAAAGAACCGCGAAUAGGAAGACGAGUUGCAUUUGUUUCGUUUCAAGUUUCGGAUUAAUUAAUUAAAGUUUCAUGGUUUAGACACGUUUGUUACCGAUACACAGUAAGGUUAAGAUUCUUUUCAGAAUGGCUUUAAUGUUUUUCUUCGUUCUUUGUUCGACUUCGUGGCGAGAACGCUUUCUAACCUCACUUUAUGAAGUUUUGGAUUAACGUUAACAUUAUUACUUGGAUAAAGAUCCACGUCGCUCCAACCAAUUAGAAACUAGCUAGAGAAACUUAUGGAACGUUGGUAACGCCGUGUCAUUCAGUCGAAAACCAUUGUGACGAUACCGAUUCGAAGUAUGUAAUUUCAACUACGCACUUGGAAAUUGCGAUAAGAGACAAUAAGAAAGAUGACUGACUAAUUGGAAUCACAGCCUCUUGGCAAUAAUUCAAUCUCGUUAAGCAAUGUCACGGCAAAAGGACAAGUUAACGCGUUGUACUACUCGCCACCACUAUCGCCAUCCUGCCACACAUCGGCUUUUAACUCGGAAAAGGGACAAAAGAUGUUUCUCCUUUUCGUUUAUUCUGCUCGCGCGACGGAGCACAGGUUAUAAAGAGUGAUUGGUAAUCCUGUAACGAAUUUUUAGUAUGCGAUACUACGUGAAAAACUGUUGCUGUUUUUGAGCGAAGAAACAUAGAAUUUUGUUCAUUUGGAUGCCAGCAGAUGGCACAUGAUGGCGUGUUUACUGCGCAAGCUUCGAUGCGAAACGACCUCUGUCAAUAUGGCUUCCUCCGAAAAGUUAGACCGCGCGAAGUGGCAACUUCUACAAGAAGCUUCUCUCCUCCUCCUUCCGCGGAUACAACUAAAGGCGAGACGAAAGGAAAGAUACGAAGUCUUUUUAACGUCGAAGUUACAAGAUUAAAUCACAAGUGUCGAAAGUUGAAUAAAUCGCAAUGUUGUUCAAUCGGUAAUCGUUCGAUUUCUUUAUAAUUUACCGCGCACUCCGAGAAUUCUUAAAUUCUACGUUGCAUCUCUCAAUUCGAUUAUGAAAUCACGAAUUUUCAUCUUCUUUGGAUAUUGUGCGCCGCAAUAAUUUGAUAUUGGGAUAAGUGAAGCAAUGGACGAAAACGAAGCGACGCGUAUCGCUGUCUAGAUUGCGCUGUAAUGCUAUAGUUCCUCGGUAACUUGUACGUAUAUACGCUGUUGCCAUUUCCACCGGAAACGACAUAACCAACAGUUCCAAAGGCAUUCGUGCCAAUGGAACGUUGGAAUUAUCCUCUCGUAACGCGUGUACUUCAAUCUUGACUCGCAUCCAUAGGCAAUGAACGGAAGCAACAGCUACGAAUUUCCCGUGCUAUGAUCCAACGAUUUAUCAAGCAAAUUGUAGCCUCUCGUUGUUUCGAAAAAAAUUAUCGAUAAUUUACUCAUUAAAAUACUCGAACCAUA
RNAcentral lists this long non-coding RNA (1849 nucleotides) under Apis mellifera (honey bee). Its description in RNAcentral is "uncharacterized LOC102655438". The record is from RNAcentral. Lineage: Eukaryota; Metazoa; Arthropoda; Insecta; Hymenoptera; Apidae.